AUUGAACGCUGGCGGCAUGCCUUACACAUGCAAGUCGAACGGCAGCACGGGGGCAACCCUGGUGGCGAGUGGCGAACGGGUGAGUAAAGCAUCGGAACGUGCCCAGUAGUGGGGGAUAGCUCGGCGAAAGCCGGAUUAAUACCGCAUACGACCUACGGGUGAAAGCGGGGGACCGAAAGGCCUCGCGCUAUUGGAGCGGCCGAUGUCAGAUUAGGUAGUUGGUGGGGUAAAGGCCUACCAAGCCGACGAUCUGUAGCUGGUCUGAGAGGACGACCAGCCACACUGGGACUGAGACACAGCCCAGACUCCUACGGGAGGCAGCAGUGGGGAAUUUUGGACAAUGGGCGAAAGCCUGAUCCAGCCAUGCCGCGUGCGGGAAGAAGGCCUUCGGGUUGUAAACCGCUUUUGUCAGGGAAGAAAUAUUCCGGGCUAAUACCCCGGGAGGAUGACGGUACCUGAAGAAUAAGCACCGGCUAACUACGUGCCAGCCGCCGCCGUAA
This 500-nucleotide ribosomal RNA is filed under the name uncultured bacterium. RNAcentral describes it as "partial 16S ribosomal RNA". It matches the Rfam family "Bacterial small subunit ribosomal RNA", at positions 29 to 523 of the family's 1533-position model. The record is from RNAcentral.